AGCGGAUUGAUGUAAUAGUAACAUAUUUGACUCAUGAUCAAAUUAUAAAGGUGCAAAUCCUUUAUCCGUAU
This is a non-coding RNA of Colletotrichum orbiculare MAFF 240422, 71 nucleotides long. The record is from Rfam. NCBI's taxonomy places the organism in Eukaryota, Fungi, Ascomycota, Sordariomycetes, Glomerellales, Glomerellaceae.